Molecule: ribosomal RNA, 461 nt
Filed under: uncultured bacterium
Lineage: Bacteria
Description: bacterial SSU rRNA
Rfam family: Bacterial small subunit ribosomal RNA
Source: RNAcentral
GAUGAACGCUGGCGGCGUGCCUAAUACAUGCAAGUCGAACGGGAGGCGGUUUUCGGAUCGCCAAGAGUGGCGCACGGGUGAGUAACACGUAGCUCACGUGCCCCGAAGCGUGGGAUAACGUUUCGAAAGGAACGCUAAUACCGCAUAAGCUCACGGGUUGUAGAGACCUGCGAGAAAAGGUUUACCACUUCGGGAGCGGGCUGCGGCCUAUCAGGUAGUUGGUGGGGUAAAAGCCUACCAAGCCGACGACGGGUAGGGGGCCUGAGAGGGUGGUCCCCCACACUGGGACUGAGACACGGCCCAGACUCCUACGGGAGGCAGCAGUAAGGAAUAUUGCUCAAUGGGCGCAAGCCUGAAGCAGCGACGCCGCGUGGGUGAUGAAGGUCUUCGGAUCGUAAAGCCCUUUUUUAGGUGACGAGAACGGACGGUAGCCUAAGAAUAAGUCUCGGCUAACUACGUGC